This is a non-coding RNA of Pelobates cultripes (western spadefoot toad), 274 nucleotides long. Lineage: Eukaryota; Metazoa; Chordata; Amphibia; Anura; Pelobatidae. The record is from the annotation of a GenBank genome assembly.
CUCAGAGAUAAUAGACAUACGACAGUGCAAUCAGCAACUAAGGAUAUUAUGAUUAUUUUUCUAUAAAGCACCAACACAUUUUGCAGCACUGUACAAUAAAUAGGUGGACUAACAAACAAGGAGUUUUAACAAGACAAAUUGGAUGUACAGGAACAGAAGGUGCUAAGGGCUCUGCUCAAUUGAGCUUACAUUACAUUCUGAGGUAAUUGCCAAACAAAUCCAGGAUGCAAGCAAGGAAGCAAUAUACUCAAACCUAUUUAAACAAAUAUUAAAU